GCAUGUACCGUAUGAAUAACGAUCGGCUAACUCCCUGCCAACAACCGCGGUAAUACGGAUGAUCCGAACGUUAUCCGGAUUUAUUGAGUUUAAAGGGAGCGUAAAUGGGUAGUUAAGUCACCUGUGAUCGUUUGCGGCUCAGCCUUAAAAUUGCAAUUGAUACUGUCACUCAUGAGAACACUUAAUGUAAGCGGAAUUCGUGAUGUAGCGGAGAAAUGCUAAGAUGUCACGAAGAACUCCGAUUGCCAAGGCAACUUACUAACCUGUAACUGACAUUGAUGCUCGAAAGUGUGGAUAUCAUACACGAUUAGAUACCCUGGUAGUCCACACGGAAAACGAUGAAUACUGCCUAUAGAUGAUAUACAGUAUGCGGCCAAGUGAAAGCUUUAAGUAUUGCGUCUGGUGAGUAGACUGGCAAUGAUGAAAAUCAAAGGAAUUGACGGCGAGCCGCACAAGCGGAGGAACAUGUGGUUUAAUUGGAUGGUACGUGAGGAGCUUUAGCCGUGCUUAAAUUGCAUCUGUAUUUGGAGGAAUCGUUAUAGAUAGCAAUAGCGGUUGUGAAGGUGUUGCAUGGUUGUCGUCAGAUGGUACCGUGAGGUGUGGGCUUAAGUGACAUAACGAGCGCUACCCUUUACGAUAGUUAUUAGCAGGUCAUUCUGAGGAGUCUGUCGGGGAUGCCAUGGUAAGAUGUGAGGAAGGUGGGGAUGACGUCAAAUCAGCACGGCCCUUACGUCCGGGGCUACACACGUGUUACAAUGGGGGGGUACAGAGGGCUGAUGGCAGGCAAGUGGAUGCCAAUCCCAUAUCCCUUUGUCAGUUAGGAUUGAAGUCUGCAACCCGAAUUCAGGAAGCUGGAUUAUCUAGUAUUCGAGCAUCAGGCAGGGCGCGGUGAAUACUUUCCCGGGCCUUGUCCACCCCGCCCGUCAAGUCAUGGGAGCCGGGGGUCCGUGAAGCGCGUAAACGGGAGGAGCUCCCUAGGGUAAAACUGGUGACUGGGG
Molecule: ribosomal RNA, 998 nt
Filed under: uncultured organism
Description: SSU rRNA
Rfam family: Bacterial small subunit ribosomal RNA
Source: RNAcentral